CCCAGGUCAAACGAAGAUGAGAGUUGGUAAAAGUUGUAACUCUCGUUUACAUACAGACAUAAACACGGAUUUUCUGGGGGUGCAGAGAGUGCGCACCUCCAAAACAUUUUGCACUCCCUCAGAAAGCUUUCCCAUCCUACCUAGAGAAUUUUGCACCCCCAAUCACUGAAUUUAAAUGCUCAUUGACUUAAAUAAUAGUAGUAUGAUUUAAAGUAAGUAUUUUAAACUAAAUAAGACCAAAAAUCUUUCCUGGGGGCUACCAACAAUCAUGUCCUCACUAGACACAAUACUCCCAAACUCCAUUCUCGUACCCAGAGCCUUUCUUACGCGCAGUCAGCGACGAGGGGCUCUGGCAAAAUCCAAACCGGAUACUAUAAAAACAUGAUAUCCGGUUAUACACUGCGCAUGCUCAAUAAGAGUUGAGCAUGCGCAGUGUAUAACUGGAUACCAUGUUUUUAUAGUAUCCGGGUUGGAUUUUGCCAGAGCCCUUCGUCGCUGACUGCGCGUAAGAAGGGGUCUGGGUACGAGAAUGUCCCAACUCGUGCCUCGCUCAUCUCCCCCCCCCCCCGAAUUCUCGACACCCCCAGAGCCAAAUCUGAGAAUUCGUUGCAACUCGUCUUCCUAUUUUACCGGGCCAUGCCUAUACUCCUUAUGCAAAUAUUAAUCGAUAUACUGUACAUAUGUAUUGAUAACCGGUAUACGAAGACAGGUUAUUUUGGACAGGAGGGCGAAGCUAUUUCCAGGAUUAAGGUUCUGUACCCAAGAGUAAAUUUCUAAAAUAUCCCAAAAAUAAUGGUCGUAUUUAUUAUACUAGAACACGUGUUAGGUAUCUAGACGAAUUAAACGUUUUGUGCUAAGCAGUGGCGUAACUCCUUUAGGCGCCGCUUGGCUAAAAAAAUGGCGAAACUGAUGGCUCAAAAAAUGGUGAAACUGAUGAAUUUCAGGAAAUUUUGCAUGUUCUUGACGUAGCCCCCGCCCACACUCGCUACUUUAAACGGGUAGGACCUUUACCACAAGUUACACCACUGGUGCUACGUGCGAAUAAUAUAAAUACGAGCUGAACUGUUGACCAUAUCACCAAGAACGUAAUCGCAAAAAUACGGUAUAGAGUAUUUGGAUUUGGGACAUUCGUCUGAGUGGCUCUUUCUUAAGUGCGUCUAAAUUUGCUCGUCACGUAUUUAUAGUAGACGGUUAAACGUCUAAGACGAUAAAGACGUUUGUUAAAUACGUCAUUUAGACGCAUCUAAUAGACAACGUUAAUUUUUACGAAGUGACCAGAUAGCCAUGCAGCGAAUAUUUAUUUUUCCACCUGAUAUUUAUUUUGUAAUAAUGUAAAUUUUUUGCAGUUGCAUUCUGCGAUGUUUUUCAAUUUCUGCACGUAAAUGCUCA
This is a non-coding RNA of Paramuricea clavata, 1389 nucleotides long. Lineage: Eukaryota; Metazoa; Cnidaria; Anthozoa; Malacalcyonacea; Plexauridae. The record is from the annotation of a GenBank genome assembly.